Molecule: ribosomal RNA, 181 nt
Filed under: Anisogramma anomala (eastern filbert blight pathogen)
Lineage: Eukaryota; Fungi; Ascomycota; Sordariomycetes; Diaporthales; Gnomoniaceae
Description: 5.8S ribosomal RNA
Rfam family: 5.8S ribosomal RNA (bases 3-156)
About the family: 5.8S ribosomal RNA (5.8S rRNA) is a component of the large subunit of the eukaryotic ribosome. It is transcribed by RNA polymerase I as part of the 45S precursor that also contains 18S and 28S rRNA. Functionally, it is thought that 5.8S rRNA may be involved in ribosome translocation.
Source: RNAcentral
AAAACUUUCAACAACGGAUCUCUUGGUUCUGGCAUCGAUGAAGAACGCAGCGAAAUGCGAUAAGUAAUGCGAAUUGCAGAAUUCAGUGAAUCAUCGAAUCUUUGAACGCACAUUGCGCCCGGCGGCAUUCCGCCGGGCAUGCCUGUUCGAGCGUCAUGUCACCCCUCGGAGCCUCGGCUUU